CUAUGCGCCUUGCCAGCCCGCUCAGUCAGAGUUUGAUCCUGGCUCAGGAUGAACGCUGGCGGCGUGCCUAAUACAUGCAAGUCGAGCGGAAAGGCCUCUUCGGAGGUACUCGAGCGGCGGACGGCUGAGUAACACGUAGGAACAUACCCCAAAGUGAGGGAUAACUGCUCGAAAGAGUAGCUAAUACCGCAUGUGGUCUUCGGAUUAAAGCUUCGGCGCUUUGGGAAUGGCCUGCGCAUGAUUAGUUUGUUGGUGAGGUAAUGGCUCACCAAGACUACGAUCAUUAGCUGGUCUGAGAGGAUGAUCAGCCAGACUGGGACUGAGACACGGCCCAG
This 335-nucleotide ribosomal RNA is filed under the name uncultured bacterium. Its description in RNAcentral is "bacterial SSU rRNA". It matches the Rfam family "Bacterial small subunit ribosomal RNA", at positions 1 to 334 of the family's 1533-position model. The record is from RNAcentral.